This 29-nucleotide non-coding RNA is filed under the name Bombyx mori (domestic silkworm). The record is from RNAcentral. Lineage: Eukaryota; Metazoa; Arthropoda; Insecta; Lepidoptera; Bombycidae.
UACCAUCCUGUUGUCGCGGCUGAGGGCCU